RNAcentral lists this ribosomal RNA (253 nucleotides) under uncultured bacterium. Its description in RNAcentral is "partial 16S ribosomal RNA". It matches the Rfam family "Archaeal small subunit ribosomal RNA", at positions 474 to 727 of the family's 1478-position model. The record is from RNAcentral.
UACCAGCACCCCGAGUGGUCGGGACGAUUAUUGGGCCUAAAGCAUCCGUAGCCGGUCCUACAAGUCUUCCGUUAAAUCCACCUGCUUAACAGAUGGGCUGCGGAAGAUACUAUAGGGCUAGGAGGCGGGAGAGGCAAGCGGUACUCAGUGGGUAGGGGUAAAAUCCUCUGAUCCAUUGAAGACCACCAGUGGCGAAGGCGGCUUACCAGAACGCGCUCGACGGUGAGGGAUGAAAGCUGGGGGAGCAAACCGG